GCCGCGUGAGUGACGAAGGCCCUCGGGUCGUAAAACUCUGUUAUCAGGGAAGAACAAGUGCUAUUUAACUGAUGGCACCUUGACGGUACCUGACCAGAAAGCCACGGCUAACUACGUGCCAGCAGCCGCGGUAAUACGUAGGUGGCAAGCGUUGUCCGGAAUUAUUGGGCGUAAAGCGCGCGCAGGCGGCUUCUUAAGUCUGAUGUGAAAGCCCACGGCUCAACCGUGGAGGGUCAUUGGAAACUGGGAGGCUUGAGUGCAGAAGAGAAGAGCGGAAUUCCACGUGUAGCGGUGAAAUGCGUAGAGAUGUGGAGGAACACCAGUGGCGAAGGCGGCUCUUUGGUCUGUAACUGACGCUGAGGCGCGAAAGCGUGGGUAGCGAACAGGAUUAGAUACCCUGGUAGUCCACGCCGUAAACGAUGAGUGCUAAGUGUUAGGGGGUUUCCGCCCCUUAGUGCUGCAGCAAACGCAUUAAGCACUCCGCCUGGGGAGUACGGCCGCAAGGCUGAAACUCAAAGGAAUUGACGGGGGCCCGCACAAGCGGUGGAGCAUGUGGUUUAAUUCGAAGCAACGCGAAGAACCUUACCAGGUCUUGACAUCCCGCUGGCCGGUCUGGAGACAGGCCUUUCUCUUCGGGGACAGCGGUGACAGGUGGUGCAUGGUUGUCGUCAGCUCGUGUCGUGAGAUGUUGGGGUUAGUCCCGCAACGAG
This 710-nucleotide ribosomal RNA is filed under the name uncultured Bacillus sp. Its description in RNAcentral is "bacterial SSU rRNA". It matches the Rfam family "Bacterial small subunit ribosomal RNA", at positions 396 to 1096 of the family's 1533-position model. Lineage: Bacteria; Bacillati; Bacillota; Bacilli; Caryophanales; Bacillaceae. The record is from RNAcentral.